UUCAACAAUACUUCCAUAUUCUUAUCAGUUCAUCUUCCACUUACUCUCUUUGUGAUUUACAUAUAUUCAAUUACUGAUCUUCAGCUUACUUAUUAUAUUCAAUUUUUCAAUUCAUCACACAAAAUUCAAUAUCUUCACUUAACACAACACAAUUUGAUAAUCUCAAUUCUCAAGGUCACAAAUUUUCUCCAAAACGGUCAGUCCAAAGUCAUAUUCCACAAUAUUCUAAUCAUAGUUUCAACAAUACUUCUCUCAAUCACAAUUCUUCACAAGAAAAUAAUAAAAGCAAAGAAAAUAAAGAGGUAGCACCAAGCUUAUCCCGGC
This 324-nucleotide long non-coding RNA is filed under the name Physcomitrium patens. RNAcentral's name for it is "long non-coding RNA (PPAT_LNC000161)". The record is from RNAcentral. Lineage: Eukaryota; Viridiplantae; Streptophyta; Bryopsida; Funariales; Funariaceae.